This 252-nucleotide ribosomal RNA is filed under the name uncultured bacterium. RNAcentral's name for it is "partial 16S ribosomal RNA". It matches the Rfam family "Bacterial small subunit ribosomal RNA", at positions 524 to 775 of the family's 1533-position model. The record is from RNAcentral.
UACGUAGGGUGCAAGCGUUGUCCGGAAUUAUUGGGCGUAAAGAGCUCGUAGGCGGUCUGUCGCGUCGGCUGUGAAAACUCGGGGCUCAACUCCGAGCUUGCAGUCGAUACGGGCAGGCUAGAGUUCGGUAGGGGAGACUGGAAUUCCUGGUGUAGCGGUGAAAUGCGCAGAGUAUCAGGAGGAACACCGGUGGCGAAGGCGGGUCUCUGGGCCGAUACUGACGCUGAGGAGCGAAAGCGUGGGAGCGAACGG